UCCUUAGAUGUUCUGGGCCGCACGCGUGCUACACUGAACGGUUCAAUGGGUAAGGUAGUGCGAAAGCAUGACCUAAUCUCGAAAUCCGUUCGUGCUGGGGAUAGAAGCUUGCAAUUAUCCUUCUUGAACGAGGAAUUCCUAGUAAGCGCAAGUCAUCAACUUGCGUUGAUUACGUCCCUGCCCUUUGUACACACCGCCCGUCGCUACUACCGAUUGAAUGGUUUAGUGAGGCCUUCGGAUCCGCGACUCGUUUUGUGGAGAAGUUGGACAAACUCAGUCAUUUAGAGGAAGUAAAAGUCGUAACA
Molecule: ribosomal RNA, 305 nt
Filed under: uncultured eukaryote
Lineage: Eukaryota
Description: partial 18S ribosomal RNA
Rfam family: Eukaryotic small subunit ribosomal RNA
Source: RNAcentral